GAGGCCUAACACAUGCAAGUCGAGCGCUCUCUUCGGAGGGAGCGGCGGACGGGUGAGUAACGCGUGGGAACGUGCCCUUUGGUUCGGAACAGCCCCUGGAAACGGGGAUUAAUUCCGGAUGAGCCCUUCGGGGGAAAGACUUCGGUCGCCAAGGGAUCGGCCCGCGUCGGAUUAGGUAGUUGGUGGGGUAACGGCCUACCAAGCCGACGAUCCGUACCUGGUUUGAGAGGAUGAUCAGGCACACUGGGACUGAGACACGGCCCAGACUCCUACGGGAGGCAGCAGUGGGGAAUCUUGGACAAUGGGGGCAACCCUGAUCCAGCCAUGCCGCGUGAACGAUGAAGGCCUUAGGGUUGUAAAGUUCUUUCGCCGGUGAAGAUAAUGACGGUAGCCGGAGAAGAAGCCCCGGCUAACUCCGUGCCAGCAGCCGCGGUAAUACGGAGGGGGCUAGCGUUGUUCGGAAUUACUGGGCGUAAGCGCACGUAGGCGGACCAGUCAGUCAGGGGUGAAAUCCCGGGGCUCAACCCCGGAACUGCCUUUGAUACUGCUGGUCUGGAGGACAGGAGAGGCGAGCGGAAUUCCGAGUGUAGAGGUGAAAUUCGUAGAUAUUCGGAGGAACACCCGUGGCGAAGGCGGCUCGCUGGCCUGUAUCUGACGCU
RNAcentral lists this ribosomal RNA (659 nucleotides) under uncultured bacterium. RNAcentral describes it as "bacterial SSU rRNA". It matches the Rfam family "Bacterial small subunit ribosomal RNA", at positions 43 to 747 of the family's 1533-position model. The record is from RNAcentral.